GAUGAACGCUGGCGGCGUGCCUAAUACAUGCAAGUCGAGCGAACGGACGAGAAGCUUGCUUCUCUGAUGUUAGCGGCGGACGGGUGAGUAACACGUGGAUAACCUACCUAUAAGACUGGGAUAACUUCGGGAAACCGGAGCUAAUACCGGAUGAUAUUUUGAACCGCAUGGUUCAAAAGUGAAAGACGGUCUUGCUGUCACUUAUAGAUGGAUCCGCGCUGCAUUAGCUAGUUGGUAAGGUAACGGCUUACCAAGGCAACGAUGCAUAGCCGACCUGAGAGGGGGAGCGGGCAGACGGGAACAGAGACACGGACAAGACUAAUACGGGAGGCAGCAGUGGGGAAUGGGUGGCAAUGGGCGAAAGACUGAAGGAGCAAAUUAGGGUGAGAGAUGAAGGGAUUAGGAUCGUAAAAAUCUGUUAAGAGGGAAGAACAUAAGUGUAAGUAACGGUGCAGAGCAAGACGGUGCAUAAGAAGAAAGACAAGGAUAACGAAGUG
RNAcentral lists this ribosomal RNA (497 nucleotides) under uncultured bacterium. RNAcentral describes it as "partial 16S ribosomal RNA". It matches the Rfam family "Bacterial small subunit ribosomal RNA", at positions 28 to 507 of the family's 1533-position model. The record is from RNAcentral.